UACGGAGGAUGCGAGCGUUAUCCGGAUUUAUUGGGUUUAAAGGGUGCGUAGGCGGAACAUUAAGUCAGCGGUAAAAUCGAGGGGCUCAACCCCUUUAAGCCGUUGAAACUGGUGAUCUUGAGUGGGCGAGAAGUAUGCGGAAUGCGUGGUGUAGCGGUGAAAUGCAUAGAUAUCACGCAGAACUCCGAUAGCGAAGGCAGCUUACCAGACUGCGACUGACGCUGAAGCACGAGAGCGUGGGUAGCGAACAGG
This 252-nucleotide ribosomal RNA is filed under the name uncultured Bacteroidales bacterium. RNAcentral describes it as "partial 16S ribosomal RNA". It matches the Rfam family "Bacterial small subunit ribosomal RNA", at positions 524 to 776 of the family's 1533-position model. Lineage: Bacteria; Pseudomonadati; Bacteroidota; Bacteroidia; Bacteroidales. The record is from RNAcentral.